Molecule: long non-coding RNA, 3060 nt
Organism: Paramormyrops kingsleyae
Lineage: Eukaryota; Metazoa; Chordata; Actinopteri; Osteoglossiformes; Mormyridae
Source: RefSeq, a predicted model, not a curated record
ACCAAGCAACGGUUGGAGGCCUCACAUUGAACACUGUGCAUGAAAGGGGUCUCUGGGCCGGGCACUUUGUGUGUUUUUCGCUGGCCCCAUAAGGAAAUAUCUAAUAAAGAGCGCAAAAAGCGCUAAGCGCAAUAAUACCUUCAGGGAGCUGGUAGUCAUGUCUGAGAAUAAUCUUGCCACUAAUUUAAUUAACUUUAUGAUCUUAACUCAUUUACUUUCCCUUCAGUGAAUGUUCGUUAUGAAUGGAGAUGGAGUGAAGUGUUGCUAAUGGUGCGAAAAAAAGCACCCCAGAGUGUCAGUUCGGGCUCUGUUAGGGGUCCCCGCGCGUGUGGGGAAGGUGACGACCUGCGGCCCAGCUGACGGGUAGCGCGCACUCCGGAGGUGACGACCUGCGGCCCAGCUGACGGGUAGCGCGCACUCCGGAGGUGACGACCUGCGGCCCAGCUGACCGGUAGCGCGCACUCCGGAGGUGACGACCUGCGGCCCAGCUGACCGGUAGCGUGCACUCCGAAGGUGCUGAGUAAGCAGAUUCAUACCUUGGAGUUUGCUACUUUACGGAGGUGGCCCCGCUGGACGUGAGUGACAGGUUGGAGGCUGCCGUAAGAGUGGACCUUCUCCUCGACAGAAAGACUGAAUAGGAUACGGCAGAAACAUCGCCAUCCAGACGCUGUGCUCGUGUACAGAGAGCGCACACUGAAAGCUUACAGGGUCUGCGGUUAAUACCUCCCAACCCAUCACUCUGCCACCCCCUUACCCAGUAUGGGGUCACAGGAUGUAGUCUGAUACAGUUGUCUAAAAAUGUAUUAAAAUACAGACACCCAUUCUCAUCCUCAAUACAACAUUAUUCUCUUAGUCCAGGACUAUAUGGAAAUAUCGACUUGUUUGGGUCUGUAUCCGCACCCUCCUGAGCAGUGACUAAAUCUGAGUGGACAGUUUGUUUUCUUCUGGAAUUUUCCAUACAGAACUCCAGAGGUGGCACUGUUACCUAUUUAGGAUCAGACCGAUGGUCCCGUGGCGUGCAGAAGACUUUCCUUCUGUUAAGUACACCCCCCACUUGUCCUCGGGGAAAAACGACCCCUGCAGGGGUGCUGCGAGUCGGCCCAGUGUCCAGGCCACAUGCAACGGGCCACAUGCGAGAUUGACUGCAGGGCAUGCCAGCUGCGUCGCUACAGAUGCACAACCCCAUGCGUUCUGAUGCGCUGCCAUGUGUCAUGUAUGCGGUCUGCCUCACAGCCUCGACGCUCCUCCCAAUCAGCAACAUUAACCUUGCUUUACAUGAGAUGCUGCUACAUGUCCUGUGACAAAUUUAGCUGCGGGGAUGAAAUGUAUUACUUCAGAUAUUGGUGAGACAUAAUUACUAUUCAGCUGAUUACCUGUAAGUAAAUGUUAGCAUUAAUUAGCGACUUAGCGUAGCGUAGCCUCUCUUGGCUUGGCGGUGACCUGGUGAUGGAGUCCAUUACAGCUUUUAUGGCCUCACUAAACUUCUAAAAUGGUAGGGUAGCCUUUUACUCUCUGUACUCUGCAGCCAGAAUAAUCUGUACCAUCGCCUCUUGCAAUGGCAUCCAUCAAUGUCACCACUCUGCUCUUCACAUCACCUCUAAACGUCCACUCUGCCAAUGGCUCGACCCACUCAGUCUUCGCAGAUAUCUGCUUUGUUUCCAAGGGAAAACCAAUCGACUUGGAGCCUGACCAAGUCGCCUGAAACGGUUUCCUGGUUGAAAGUAACCAGGACUCAGUUUAGCCCUGUCCCAUUAGUAGUAAGAAAAAUACGCGAAAUGCUUUGCUACUCAAGUUAAAUAUGUAAAAUAUAAAAUAAAGUAUACCUGCUCGUAUCAGAAUCUCAAAUAUGACAUUGACAUACUACUGCACAAUGGAACCGGCUGAGUUCAAAAUAAGAAUCUGGGGCAUUUUGAAGUCACUUGUCAAUAAAAUGUCAUUUGGAGCAGAUUUAUCUGAACAGCUGGGCGCCUUUGUUGAGGAAGUUCCACUUGUGCUUUUCCCCUGGGAGCUCGAUACAUUUGCAUGGCGAUCCUGUGCUGGAUAAGUGAGACACGGAAUGGAAGGAUGAGGAGAGGAGAACUGCGAAACAGGAAUGAAUAUUUCAAGCUAUAAAGUACGGGAUCUCGCAGGUUCGUUAGUGUCUGCUCGUUAGCGCUUUGGGAUACUGACUAACACAUGCGCGCUGCCUUCCACCUUGGCUCUUCCCAGCGCCGUGAGCGCGGGAUACAGCACUGUGUGCGGAUUCCCUCCCGUCCCGCCAUCGUUUCUGGGCUCUGAAGGCCUCGAUAGCUGUUGUCGUAGAAACAGGCAUCUCUCCAUUUUCGCUUCUUGGGAGGUACGGGGCCGUUUCUGCCCCGUCCAUCAUUUCAUAACGACUCAGCGGUGGUCCGCUUUCAGCCGUGUGAAGUGUAGCGGUCUGACACGACGCAUCGGGGGCUGAACAUAAGUGCAUUUACCCACCAGACCUCAACGGGAGUCUGGACAUCCCUCUUCCUCAAACUCUUACAUGGCUCCUUUAAUCAUUUUGACGUGUAUUUAGCUAAAAGAAGCCCAAAGGAUCGUUUAACGUUGUGUAAAUAACAGAGCUGCAUCAGAGAUGUCAGUAAUGAAGGUUAGAAUUAUGGCUACUGGAGAACUCGUGCUGCUUCUGUAUUUUCUUCUAGCUGUGGUGCUUUGUUGACCGUGCAUGGUUCCAGUAUUCCUCCGUGUUUAUGUUCUGCAAGGAAACACAUCUUCAUUCCACAGCCGUGUAUCACGGCAAUGUUCAGACGGGAUGUUUUGGCGAGAUUCAAGGUGUCUCUGUGGCUUUCCAUCAAACUAUUGUGACAGCCAGUGAGGGAGAGGGAGAUUGCAGCACUGUGUCCGUGACCCUUGCGGGUUUGUGUUUGAACAUCAUGCUUAAGAAUUAAAUUAUUCUCCAAUAAUCUAAAUUUAGAAUCCGGUACUUCUGUUUUGACACGUUGCCCUUAUUUUCCUUGUCAGAUGGUUUUAUUUCUAAUAACCUUUAACCGUCCUGAAUAAAAGCAGCUGUCAGAUGAAUAAAAACUCAGUUUACUUUUG